GUAGAGUUUGAUCAUGGCUCAGGAAGUCGUAACAAGGUAACCACUAGAGUUUGAUCCUGGCUCAGGACGAACGCUGGCUGCGUGCUUAACACAUGCAAGUCGAACGCUGAAGCCUGGUGCUUGCACCGGGUGGAUGAGUGGCGAACGGGUGAGUAACACGUGAGUAACCUGCCCCUGACUUCGGGAUAAGCCCGGGAAACUGGGUCUAAUACCGGAUACGACUGCCGGACGCAUGUCUGGUGGUGGAAAGUUUUUUCGGUUGGGGAUGGGCUCGCGGCCUAUCAGUUUGUUGGUGAGGUAAUGGCUCACCAAGACGACGACGGGUAGCCGGCCUGAGAGGGCGACCGGCCACACUGGGACUGAGACACGGCCCAGACUCCUACGGGAGGCAGCAGUGGGGAAUAUUGCACAAUGGGGGAAACCCUGAUGCAGCGACGCAGCGUGCGGGAUGACGGCCUUCGGGUUGUAAACCGCUUUCAGCAGGGAAGAAGCGCAAGUGACGGUACCUGCAGAAGAAGUACCGGCUAACUACGUGCCAGCAGCCGCGGUAAUACGUAGGGUACGAGCGUUGUCCGGAAUUAUUGGGCGUAAAGAGCUCGUAGGUGGUUGGUCACGUCUGCUGUGGAAACGCAACGCUUAACGUUGCGCGUGCAGUGGGUACGGGCUGACUAGAGUGCAGUAGGGGAGUCUGGAAUUCCUGGUGUAGCGGUGAAAUGCGCAGAUAUCAGGAGGAACACCGGUGGCGAAGGCGGGACUCUGGGCUGUAACUGACACUGAGGAGCGAAAGCAUGGGGAGCGAACAGGAUUAGAUACCCUGGUAGUCCAUGCCGUAAACGUUGGGCACUAGGUGUGGGGGGCAUUCCACGUUCUCCGCGCCGUAGCUAACGCAUUAAGUGCCCCGCCUGGGGAGUACGGUCGCAAGGCUAAAACUCAAAGGAAUUGACGGGGGCCCGCACAAGCGGCGGAGCAUGCGGAUUAAUUCGAUGCAACGCGAAGAACCUUACCAAGGCUUGACAUACACCGGACCGUCCUGGAAACAGGUCUUCUUCUUUGAAGCUGGUGUACAGGUGGUGCAUGGUUGUCGUCAGCUCGUGUCGUGAGAUGUUGGGUUAAGUCCCGCAACGAGCGCAACCCUCGUUCUAUGUUGCCAGCACGUGAUGGUGGGAACUCAUAGGAGACUGCCGGGGUCAACUCGGAGGAAGGUGGGGAUGACGUCAAAUCAUCAUGCCCUUUAUGUCUUGGGCUUCACGCAUGCUACAAUGGCUGGUACAGAGAGAGGCGAACCCGUGAGGGCAAGCGAAUCCCUUAAAGCCAGUCUCAGUUCGGAUCGUAGUCUGCAAUUCGACUACGUGAAGUCGGAGUCGCUAGUAAUCGCAGAUCAGCAACGCUGCGGUGAAUACGUUCCCGGGCCUUGUACACACCGCCCGUCAAGUCACGAAAGUCGGUAACACCCGAAGCCGGUGGCCUAACCGUAAGGAGGGGGCCGUCUAAGGUGGGACUGGUGAUUGGGACUAAGUCGUAACAAGGUAACCAGGG
This 1536-nucleotide ribosomal RNA is filed under the name Brevibacterium casei. Its description in RNAcentral is "bacterial SSU rRNA". It matches the Rfam family "Bacterial small subunit ribosomal RNA". The record is from RNAcentral. Lineage: Bacteria; Bacillati; Actinomycetota; Actinomycetes; Micrococcales; Brevibacteriaceae.